This 700-nucleotide ribosomal RNA is filed under the name uncultured bacterium. Its description in RNAcentral is "bacterial SSU rRNA". It matches the Rfam family "Bacterial small subunit ribosomal RNA", at positions 64 to 760 of the family's 1533-position model. The record is from RNAcentral.
GAGGGGUAACAGGUGUAGCAAUACAUGCUGACGACCGGCGCACGGGUGCGUAACACGUAUACAAUCUACCUUUAACUGGGGGAUAGCCCGGAGAAAUCCGGAUUAAUACCCCAUAACAGUAGGAGAGGCAUCUCUCUUAUUUGAAAGUUCCGACGGUUGAAGAUGAGUAUGCGUCUGAUUAGUUUGUUGGUGAGGUAACGGCUCACCAAGACUACGAUCAGUAGGGGAUCUGAGAGGAUUAACCCCCACACGGAUACUGAGACACGGAUCCGACUCCUACGGGAGGCAGCAGUAAGGAAUAUUGGACAAUGGGCGCAAGCCUGAUCCAGCCAUGCCGCGUGCAGGAAGAAGGCGCUAUGCGUCGUAAACUGCUUUUACACCGGAGAAAACCCCCUUAUGUAUAAGGGGCUGAUAGUAUGGUGAGAAUAAGCAUCGGCUAACUUCGUGCCAGCAGCCGCGGUAAGACGAAGGAUGCAAGCGUUAUCCGGAUUCAUUGGGUUUAAAGGGAGCGUAGGUGGUCUUAUAGGUCAGUGGUGAAAUCUCGCAGCUUAACUGCGAAACUGCCAUUGAUACUGUAGGACUUGAGUGUAGUUGCUGUGGGCGGAAUAUGACAUGUAGUGGUGAAAUACUUAGAGAUGUCAUAGAACACCGAUUGCGAAGGCAGCUCACAAAACUAUAACUGACACUGAGGCUCGAAAGU